Molecule: ribosomal RNA, 253 nt
Filed under: uncultured bacterium
Lineage: Bacteria
Description: partial 16S ribosomal RNA
Rfam family: Bacterial small subunit ribosomal RNA
Source: RNAcentral
UACAGAGGGUGCAAACGUUGUUCGGAAUUACUGGGCGUAAAGCGCGUGUAGGCGGCUUUGCAAGUCGGAUGUGAAAUCCCACGGCUCAACCGUGGAAGUGCAUUCGAAACUGCAAGGCUAGAGUCCUGGAGAGGAAGGUGGAAUGCUUGGUGUAGAGGUGAAAUUCGUAGAUAUCAAGCGGAACACCGGUGGCGAAGGCGGCCUUCUGGACAGUGACUGACGCUGAGACGCGAAAGCGUGGGGAGCAAACAGG